Molecule: ribosomal RNA, 499 nt
Filed under: uncultured bacterium
Lineage: Bacteria
Description: partial 16S ribosomal RNA
Rfam family: Bacterial small subunit ribosomal RNA
Source: RNAcentral
GAGUUUGAUCCUGGCUCAGGAUGAACGCUGGCGGCGUGCCUAACACAUGCAAGUCGAACGGGGGCAGAUUGAAACCUAGUGAUAUCUGCCCGAGUGGCGGACGGGUGAGUAACGCGUGGACAACCUGCCGCAUGCAGGGGGAUACCGGCUGGAAACAGCCGCUAAUACCGCAUAUGCGCGCGGGGGGGUCGCCCUCAAUUCUUCUUUUGUGUUUCUUUCCUGCGAACCUCCCCCGCCGCAUUAUCAAUUGUUGUGUUUGCGGCCGGCCGGGGGGCCCACCGAACCGAACCAAUAGUGUUUAAUUAAGGAAGAUUAAGUUGGAAAUAUGUCCUGGCUGCUCCCCCUUCCUUCAACCCGGUCAUCAGUUAUAGUCUUUUACGUCGUCUUCACCGGUGCACCCCACCCAAAAACUAGGUCAUUUCUUAACAAUCUAAGCUCUGCGCAUAACUCACGCUGAAAUACAGUUCUUUUAUCUCCAAUAUACCUCUUGGCUUGUCGG